UUGUUGGUAAGGUAAAAGCUUACCAAGGCUUCGAUCAGUAGCUGGUCUGAGAGGACGACCAGCCACACUGGGACUGAGACACGGCCCAGACUCCUACGGGAGGCAGCAGUGGGGAAUUUUGGACAAUGGGGGCAACCCUGAUCCAGCCAUGCCGCGUGAGUGAAGAAGGCCUUCGGGUUGUAAAGCUCUUUCAGCCGGAACGAAACGGUUACGGAUAACACCCGUGACUACUGACGGUACCGGAAGAAGAAGCACCGGCUAACUACGUGCCAGCAGCCGCGGUAAUACGUAGGGUGCGAGCGUUAAUCGGAAUUACUGGGCGUAAAGCGUGCGCAGGUGGUUUUGUAAGUCAGAUGUGAAAGCCCCGGGCUCAACCUGGGAACUGCGUUUGAAACUACAAGACUAGAGUGUGGCAGAGGGGGGUGGAAUUCCGCGUGUAGCAGUGAAAUGCGUAGAGAUGUGGAGGAACACCGAUGGCGAAGGCAGCCCCCUGGGUCAACACUGACGCUCAGGCACGAAAGCAUGGGGAGCAAACAGGAUUAGAUACCCUGGUAGUCCAUGCCCUAAACGAUGUCAACUAGUUGUCGGGCCUUUACGGGCUUGGUAACGUAGCUAACGCGUGAAGUUGACCGCCUGGGGAGUACGAUCGCAAGAUUAAAACUCAAAUGAAUUGACGGGGACCCGCACAAGCGGUGGAUUAUGUGGAUUAAUUCGAUGCAACGCGAAGAACCUUACCUACCCUUGACAUGUAUCGAAGCCCGCAGAAAAGCGGGGGUGCCCGAAAGGGAACGAUAACACAGGUGCUGCAUGGCUGUCGUCAGCUCGUGUCGUGAGAUGUUGGGUUAAGUCCCGCAACGAGCGCAACCCUUGUCAUUAAUUGCCAUCAUUUAGUUGGGCACUUUAAUGAGACUGCCGG
RNAcentral lists this ribosomal RNA (916 nucleotides) under uncultured bacterium. Its description in RNAcentral is "bacterial SSU rRNA". It matches the Rfam family "Bacterial small subunit ribosomal RNA", at positions 246 to 1155 of the family's 1533-position model. The record is from RNAcentral.